This 480-nucleotide ribosomal RNA is filed under the name uncultured bacterium. Its description in RNAcentral is "bacterial SSU rRNA". It matches the Rfam family "Bacterial small subunit ribosomal RNA", at positions 28 to 511 of the family's 1533-position model. The record is from RNAcentral.
GAUGAACGCUAGCGGCAGGCUUAACACAUGCAAGUCGAGGGGUAUAGUAGCAAUACUAGAGACCGGCGCACGGGUGCGUAACGCGUAUGCAAUCUACCUUUUGCAGAGGGAUAGCCCAGAGAAAUUUGGAUUAAUACCUCAUAGUAUAGAACAAUCGCGUGAUUGAGCUAUUAAAGUCACAACGGCAAAAGAUGAGCAUGCGUCCCAUUAGUUAGUUGGUAAGGUAACGGCUUACCAAGACUACGAUGGGUAGGGGUCCUGAGAGGGAGAUCCCCCACACUGGUACUGAGACACGGACCAGACUCCUACGGGAGGCAGCAGUGAGGAAUAUUGGACAAUGGGCGCAAGCCUGAUCCAGCCAUGCCGCGUGCAGGAUGACGGUCCUAUGGAUUGUAAACUGCUUUUGUACAGGAAGAAACACCUCUACGUGUAGAGACUUGACGGUACUGUAAGAAUAAGGAUCGGCUAACUCCGUGCCAG